GACCGUGUAGCUCAGUUGGCAGAGCAUUGGGCUAGUAUUCCAAAAGUCGUAGGUUCGAUUCCCACCGUGGCCA
Non-coding RNA from Paramuricea clavata, 73 nucleotides. Lineage: Eukaryota; Metazoa; Cnidaria; Anthozoa; Malacalcyonacea; Plexauridae. The record is from the annotation of a GenBank genome assembly.